Molecule: ribosomal RNA, 283 nt
Filed under: uncultured bacterium
Lineage: Bacteria
Description: partial 16S ribosomal RNA
Rfam family: Bacterial small subunit ribosomal RNA
Source: RNAcentral
AACCUUCCUAUAAGUGGGGAAUAGCCCAGAGAAAUUUGGAUUAAUACCCCGUAACAUAACGAUGUGGCAUCACAUUGUUAUUAUAGCUUCGGCGCUUAUUGAUGGGUGUGCGGCUGAUUAGAUAGUUGGCGGGGUAACGGCCCACCAAGUCUACGAUCAGUAGCUGAUGUGAGAGCAUGAUCAGCCACACGGGCACUGAGACACGGGCCCGACUCCUACGGGAGGCAGCAGUAAGGAAUAUUGGACAAUGGGCGCAAGCCUGAUCCAGCCAUGCCGCGUGAAG